This 401-nucleotide ribosomal RNA is filed under the name uncultured bacterium. RNAcentral's name for it is "bacterial SSU rRNA". It matches the Rfam family "Bacterial small subunit ribosomal RNA", at positions 29 to 421 of the family's 1533-position model. The record is from RNAcentral.
AACGAACGCUGGCGGCGCGCCUAAUACAUGCAAGUCGAGCGAGAAGACGUAGCAAUACGUUUGUAAAGCGGCGAACGGGUGAGGAAUACAUGGGUAACCUACCCUCGAGUGGGGAAUAACUAGCCGAAAGGUUAGCUAAUACCGCGUACGCUUCUUGGACUUCGGUUCAGGGAGGAAAGCGAUACCGUGGGUAUCGCGCUCUUGGAUGGGCUCAUGUCCUAUCAGCUUGUUGGGAGGUAACGGCUCACCAAGGCUUCGACGGGUAGCUGGUCUGAGAGGACGAUCAGCCACACUGGCACUGCGACACGGGCCAGACUCCUACGGGAGGCAGCAGUAAGGAAUAUUGCGCAAUGGGCGAAAGCCUGACGCAGCGACGCCGCGUGGGGGAUGAAGGUCUUCGG